RNAcentral lists this ribosomal RNA (433 nucleotides) under uncultured bacterium. Its description in RNAcentral is "partial 16S ribosomal RNA". It matches the Rfam family "Bacterial small subunit ribosomal RNA", at positions 29 to 507 of the family's 1533-position model. The record is from RNAcentral.
AACGAACGCUGGCGGCAUGCCUAACACAUGCAAGUCGAACGAUACCUUCGGGUCUAGUGGCGCACGGGUGCGUAACGCGUGGGAACCUGCCCUUAGGUUCGGAAUAACUCCCCGAAAGGGGUGCUAAUACCGGAUAAUGUCUUCGGACCAAAGAUUUAUCGCCUUUGGAUGGGCCCGCGUUGGAUUAGCUAGUUGGUAGGGUAAAAGCCUACCAAGGCGACGAUCCAUAGCUGGUCUGAGAGGAUGAUCAGCCACACUGGGACUGAGACACGGCCCAGACUCCUACGGGAGGCAGCAGUGGGGAAUAUUGGACAAUGGGCGAAAGACUGAUCCAGCAAUGCCGCGUGAGUGAUGAAGGACUUAGGGUUGUAAAGCUCUUUUAACCGGGAUGAUAAUGACAGUACCGGGAGAAUAAGCGCCGGCUAACUCCGUG